AAGACUUGUCCCCCUGCACGUCUGCGCUGGUUUUAGGAUGUAGGAUGUCUGUAAAGGGGGUUGCAGAGAUGGCUCAGCAGUGGAAGGCAGAUACUGCUUCUCCAGAGGACCUGGGUUUGGUCUGAGCACCCACACUGGGUGGCUCACAACUGCCUGUUACUCUGGCUCCAGGAGACCCGGCACCCUCUUCUGAUCACACCAGAAACACAAUUAAAAGAUUCAUGUGUGCCCUGAGGUCAGAGGACAACUUCAAGGAGUCGGCAUUCUCUUUGACCAUGUGGGUCCAGGGAACAGAACUUGGGUGGUUAUGUUUGGUGACAAGCACCUAACCCACUGUUGGGGCCCAAAAAUUAUAAAGCUUGGAGUCCAAACCUCCGCUCCAUUUCCAGGAGCCUGAAUCUCCCAUUGUCUUGGCUAAAUUACUAUGGGAUGGCUUGGCCUCAGUGGAGAAUGUCUCCUAGUUUGCAUAACAACAGACCUAGGCCCUGGGUGUACCCACACCUGUUCUGAGAGCUUGUUUAUGUGCCUAGGGACUGUUUGGAGGUGUCUCUAGGAUUAAAAGAAUUGUUUGAUAUCAGUUUUAUACAUGAGAGUAGCUGUCUUCUUCGAUCACCCCCACUGGUGGAAAGCUAAUUAAGAGGAAGCUUGAAUAAACCAGAGACUCCAGUUUCCAGCAUGGACUGAGAGCCCUCCUGAGACGACAA
Molecule: non-coding RNA, 704 nt
Organism: Cricetulus griseus (Chinese hamster)
Lineage: Eukaryota; Metazoa; Chordata; Mammalia; Rodentia; Cricetidae
Source: RefSeq, a predicted model, not a curated record